UUUGAUCCAAGAUCAGCAUGCAGCUGUAGUGCUUCUAAGUCCCUGUGAUAAGGUUAGCGAUAAACUGAACAGAACUACGCUCUCUUCUACCAUUGUCUUAAAUGUCUUUAAAUGGUCUCGUUGCAAAAGCUAAAUUGUCGCUGGGGGAAUUUGAAGCACCUGUGUGCCGAUCUUGGAGUAAACUGACGAUAGCAAAGAUUAUAAUAAACACCACAGAAACGGAAUUGGUGCUCGCUAGCUCUGCAAAUGCAGCUAGUGUGGGAAGCCAGCAAAUAUAAAAUGACAACAUAAACUAUAUUAAAAUUACAAAAGGUUGCAGCUUACGUUGUGUAAAUGGUGAACUCAUACAGCUGUCAACCCUUGUUACAGCAAUCCGUUCACAUUUGCUAGCUGACCAGCUAGCUUCCUUGUAGAUCGAAGCCCAUUAUAGAAUGAUAGAAGCUAAUAGAUGAUAGAAGCCCAUCUCCUACUGUAAAUAACCUACACACUAUGUGUGUAGCCAGCCAGCCAGGUAGAAAAAUGACAGAAAAAAGACGGACAUCAGAGCAUUUUUCAGUACACCAAAACGCAAGCCAGAGCAGGCAACAGAUGGCACACAGACAGCAGAGCUGGGGACAGAUCUGCAGAGACAGACUGGCAGAGACAGACUGGCAGAGACAGUCUCAGGAAGCGGAAGGGGUCGUUCUCCUGGGCGAGGGUCUGGAUGCCACUGUGGACAUCCUGCAGACGGGACUGGUCCUGGACCGCCUUGGCUAUGUUCCGCUGGAUGCUGGGGCCACACUCGACCCCGUGGGAGCAGGAAC
Long non-coding RNA from Salvelinus fontinalis (brook trout), 803 nucleotides. RefSeq lists it as uncharacterized. The record is from RefSeq and is a predicted model, not a curated record. NCBI's taxonomy places the organism in Eukaryota, Metazoa, Chordata, Actinopteri, Salmoniformes, Salmonidae. The transcript is spliced from 3 exons.